UGGGGAAUAUUGGACAAUGGGCGCAAGCCUGAUCCAGCCAUGCCGCGUGGGUGAAGAAGGCCUUCGGGUUGUAAAGCCCUUUUGUCCGGGAAGAAAUCGUACGGGUGAAUAUCCCGUGCGGAUGACGGUACCGGAAGAAUAAGCACCGGCUAACUUCGUGCCAGCAGCCGCGGUAAUACGAAGGGUGCAAGCGUUACUCGGAAUUACUGGGCGUAAAGCGUGCGUAGGCGGUUUGUUAAGUCCGCUGUGAAAGCCCUGGGCUCAACCUGGGAAUUGCAGUGGAUACUGGCAAGCUAGAGUGCGGUAGAGGAUGGUGGAAUUCCCGGUGUAGCGGUGAAAUGCGUAGAGAUCGGGAGGAACACCCGUGGCGAAGGCGGCCAUCUGGACCAGCACUGACGCUGAGGCACGAAAGCGUGGGGAGCAAACA
RNAcentral lists this ribosomal RNA (427 nucleotides) under uncultured Dokdonella sp. RNAcentral describes it as "bacterial SSU rRNA". It matches the Rfam family "Bacterial small subunit ribosomal RNA", at positions 355 to 774 of the family's 1533-position model. The record is from RNAcentral. Lineage: Bacteria; Pseudomonadati; Pseudomonadota; Gammaproteobacteria; Lysobacterales; Rhodanobacteraceae.